RNAcentral lists this ribosomal RNA (440 nucleotides) under uncultured bacterium. RNAcentral describes it as "partial 16S ribosomal RNA". It matches the Rfam family "Bacterial small subunit ribosomal RNA", at positions 338 to 795 of the family's 1533-position model. The record is from RNAcentral.
CCUACGGGUGGCAGCAGUGGGGAAUAUUGCACAAUGGAGGGAACUCUGAUGCAGCGACGCCGCGGGAGUGAAGAAGUAAUUCGUUAUGUAAAGCGCUAUCAGCAGGGAAGAAAGUGACGGUACCUGAAAAAGAAGCUCCGGCCAAAUACGUGCCAGCAGCCGCGGUAAUACGUCUGGAGCAAGCGCUAUGCGGAUUUACUGGGUGUAAAGGGAGAGUAGGUGGCAGAGCAAGACCGAAGUGAAAACCCAAAGCUCAACCAUGGGAAUGCUUUAGAAACUGGUCAGCUAGAGUGCAGUAGAGGCAAGUGGAAUUCUUAGUGUAGCGGUGAAAUGCGUAGAUAUUAGGAAGAACACCAGGGGCGAAGGCGGCUUGCUGGACUGUUACUGACACUGAGGCUCGAAAGCGUGGGGAGCAAACAGGAUUAGAUACCCGGGUAGUC